GAUGAACGCUCGCUACAGGCUUAACACAUGCAAGUCGAGGGGCAGCGGGGUUGAAGCUUGCUUCAAUUGCCGGCGACCGGCGCACGGGUGAGUAACGCGUAUCCAACCUUCCGUACACUCAGGGAUAGCCUUUCGAAAGAAAGAUUAAUACCUGAUGGUAUGAUGAGAUUGCAUGAUAUCAUCAUUAAAGAUUUAUCGGUGUACGAUGGGGAUGCGUUCCAUUAGGUAGUAGGCGGGGUAACGGCCCACCUAGCCAACGAUGGAUAGGGGUUCUGAGAGGAAGGUCCCCCACAUUGGAACUGAGACACGGUCCAAACUCCUACGGGAGGCAGCAGUGAGGAAUAUUGGUCAAUGGACGAGAGUCUGAACCAGCCAAGUAGCGUGAAGGAUGAAGGUCCUACGGAUUGUAAACUUCUUUUAUAAGGGAAUAAACCCUCCCACGUGUGGGAGCUUGUAUGUACCUUAUGAAUAAGCAUCGGCUAACUCCGUG
This 490-nucleotide ribosomal RNA is filed under the name uncultured bacterium. RNAcentral's name for it is "partial 16S ribosomal RNA". It matches the Rfam family "Bacterial small subunit ribosomal RNA", at positions 28 to 507 of the family's 1533-position model. The record is from RNAcentral.